GUCUAUGGCAUGCCACCCUGAACUUGUCUGAUCUCGGAAGCCAAGCAGGGUCGGUCCUGGGUAGUGCUUGGAUGAAAAACCAGUCGCAGGUUGGUAUACUUCAAGUCAGUUGCUUUAGAUC
Prolemur simus (greater bamboo lemur) is the source of this 121-nucleotide ribosomal RNA. NCBI's taxonomy places the organism in Eukaryota, Metazoa, Chordata, Mammalia, Primates, Lemuridae. The record is from Ensembl.